AGGAGAGUUUGAUCCUGGCUCAGGAUGAACGCUAGCGGCAGGCUUAACACAUGCAAGUCGAGGGGCAGCGCGGAGUGGCAACACUUUGGCGGCGACCGGCGCACGGGUGCGUAACGCGUAUGCAACCUGCCCCGUACAGGGGUAUAACGGAGGGAAACUUCCACUAAUCCCCCAUAAUGACAUGCUUCCGCAUGGGGGUGUGUUUAAAGGUAUUUCUGGUACGGGAUGGGCAUGCGUGACAUUAGGUAGUUGGCGGGGCAACGGCCCACCAAGCCGACGAUGUCUAGGGGAGCUGAGAGGCUUAUCCCCCACACUGGUACUGAGACACGGACCAGACUCCUACGGGAGGCAGCAGUGAGGAAUAUUGGUCAAUGGGAGGAAUCCUGAACCAGCCAUGCCGCGUGGGGGAAGAAGGUCCUAUGGGUUGUAAACCCCUUUUGCUCGGGAGUAAUAAGAGUCUUGCGAGGCUUGAUGAGAGUACCGGGCGAAUAAGCAUCGGCUAACUCCGUGCCAGCAGCCGCGGUAAUACGGAGGAUGCGAGCGUUAUCCGGAUUUAUUGGGUUUAAAGGGUGCGCAGGCGGACUGCUAAGUCAGCGGUGAAAGGUCCCGGCUCAACCGGGGAGCUGCCGUUGAUACUGGCGGACUGGAGUCCAAACGGCGCCGGCGGAAUGUGUGGUGUAGCGGUGAAAUGCAUAGAUACCACACAGAACACCGAUCGCGAAGGCAGCUGGCGAGGAUGGUACUGACGCUGAGGCACGAAGGCGUGGGGAUCGAACAGGAUUAGAUACCCUGGUAGUCCCCU
Molecule: ribosomal RNA, 802 nt
Filed under: uncultured Bacteroidota bacterium
Lineage: Bacteria; Pseudomonadati; Bacteroidota
Description: bacterial SSU rRNA
Rfam family: Bacterial small subunit ribosomal RNA
Source: RNAcentral